This 30-nucleotide non-coding RNA is filed under the name Bombyx mori (domestic silkworm). The record is from RNAcentral. Lineage: Eukaryota; Metazoa; Arthropoda; Insecta; Lepidoptera; Bombycidae.
GAGUCGGGUGUGACCACGACUUUAGGACGC